AUGAAGACGGACGACCUACAUGGAUGGAGAUCAUGGGUGUGUGCUGGACGUGUGGGCGCGGCACGACUACCACUUGUUUUCGCAGACAAAGGUGGGGUUGUCAUUCUAACCGUUCUUGAGGUGGGCGCACCUGGCUGCCAUGUCAUCGACCGGUUUGAGGCCACCGUUGCUUUAGUUGACGUACUGGAGGUCAUGGACGGAGCGGCUCUUUUUGACAUUCUUGAGGACGCAGGAGGAGCCACCGUCGCAGACGCCGCUGAAAUUCUUGAGGUCACGUAUGGAUUUGCUGUUGUUGACGUUCUUGAGGUUGCAGGCGGAUUUGUCGUUGUUGACGUUCUUAAGGUUGCAUACGAAUCUGCCGCAGUUGAAGUCCUUGAGGCUGUGUACAGAUUUGACGUUGUUGAAGAUCUUGAGGGCGCAUAUGGAUUUGCCGUUGUUGACGUUCUUGAGGUAGCGGGUUGA
RNAcentral lists this ribosomal RNA (462 nucleotides) under Triticum aestivum (bread wheat). RNAcentral's name for it is "partial small subunit ribosomal RNA". The record is from RNAcentral. Lineage: Eukaryota; Viridiplantae; Streptophyta; Magnoliopsida; Poales; Poaceae.